UGGGGAAUAUUGUGCAAUGGGGGAAACCCUGACACAGCGACGCCGCGUGAGCGAAGAAGGCCUUCGGGUCGUAAAGCUCAAUAGUAUGGGAAGAAAUAAAUGACGGUACCAUACGAAAGCCCCGGCUAACUACGUGCCAGCAGCCGCGGUAAUACGUAGGGGGCGAGCGUUGUCCGGAAUUACUGGGCGUAAAGAGCACGUAGGCGGCUAUAAAAGUCAGAUGUGAAAAACCUGGGCGCAACCGAGGGUGUGCAUCUGAAACUAAAUAGCUUGAGUCAAGGAGAGGAGAGCGGAAUUCCUGGUGUAGCGGUGAAAUGCGUAGAGAUCAGGAAGAAUACCAGUGGCGAAAGCGGCUCUCUGGACUUGAACUGACGCUGAGGUGCGAAAGCGUGGGGAGCAAACAGG
This 405-nucleotide ribosomal RNA is filed under the name Bacillota bacterium. Its description in RNAcentral is "Firmicutes bacterium partial 16S ribosomal RNA". It matches the Rfam family "Bacterial small subunit ribosomal RNA", at positions 355 to 776 of the family's 1533-position model. The record is from RNAcentral. Lineage: Bacteria; Bacillati; Bacillota.